UUCCUACGGGAGGCAGCAGUGGGGAAUAUUGCACAAUGGGCGCAAGCCUGAUGCAGCAACGCCGCGUGGGGGAUGAAGGCCUUCGGGUUGUAAACCCCUUUUAGUAGGGAAGAAGCGAAAGUGACGGUACCUACAGAAAAAGCGCCGGCUAACUACGUGCCAGCAGCCGCGGUAAUACGUAGGGCGCAAGCGUUGUCCGGAAUUAUUGGGCGUAAAGAGCUCGUAGGCGGUUUGUCGCGUCUGCUGUGAAAUCCCGAGGCUCAACCUCGGGUCUGCAGUGGGUACGGGCAGACUAGAGUGUGGUAGGGGAGACUGGAAUUCCUGGUGUAGCGGUGGAAUGCGCAGAUAUCAGGAGGAACACCAAUGGCGAAGGCAGGUCUCUGGGCCACAACUGACGCUGAGGAGCGAAAGCGUGGGGAGCGAACAGGAUUAGAUACCCGAGUAGUCUA
This 449-nucleotide ribosomal RNA is filed under the name uncultured Demequina sp. RNAcentral describes it as "bacterial SSU rRNA". It matches the Rfam family "Bacterial small subunit ribosomal RNA", at positions 336 to 797 of the family's 1533-position model. The record is from RNAcentral. Lineage: Bacteria; Bacillati; Actinomycetota; Actinomycetes; Micrococcales; Demequinaceae.